This 296-nucleotide ribosomal RNA is filed under the name Bacillus licheniformis. RNAcentral describes it as "partial 23S ribosomal RNA". It matches the Rfam family "Bacterial large subunit ribosomal RNA", at positions 1460 to 1753 of the family's 2925-position model. The record is from RNAcentral. Lineage: Bacteria; Bacillati; Bacillota; Bacilli; Caryophanales; Bacillaceae.
AACGAUGGGGGGACGCAGAAAGGUAGGGUGAGCGCGCCGCUGGCUGUGCGCGUCGAAGCAUGCAAGGCUGGAACAUAGGCAAAUCCGUGUUCCAUAAGGCUGAGCUGUGACCGUGAAGGACCUUCGGGUCCGAAAUCCCUGAUCCUCCGCUGCCGAGAAAAGCCUCUAGUGAGAAUACAGGUGCCCGUACCGCAAACCGACACAGGUAGGCGAGAAGAGAAUUCUAAGACGCUCGGGAGAACUCUCGUUAAGGAACUCGGCAAAAUGACCCCGUAACUUCGGGAGAAGGGGUGCUC